Molecule: ribosomal RNA, 497 nt
Filed under: uncultured bacterium
Lineage: Bacteria
Description: partial 16S ribosomal RNA
Rfam family: Bacterial small subunit ribosomal RNA
Source: RNAcentral
GAUGAACGCUGGCGGCGUGCCUAAUACAUGCAAGUCGAGCGAACAGACGAGGAGCUUGCUCCUCUGACGUUAGCGGCGGACGGGUGAGUAACACGUGGAUAACCUACCUAUAAGACUGGGAUAACUUCGGGAAACCGGAGCUAAUACCGGAUAAUAUAUUGAACCGCAUGGUUCAAUAGUGAAGGACGGCUUUGCUGUCACUUAUAGAUGGAUCCGCGCCGCAUUAGCUAGUUGGUAAGGUAACGGCUUACCAAGGCGACGAUGCGUAGCCGACCUGAGAGGGUGAUCGGCCACACUGGAACUGAGACACGGUCCAGACUCCUACGGGAGGCAGCAGUAGGGAAUCUUCCGCAAUGGGCGAAAGCCUGACGGAGCAACGCCGCGUGAGUGAUGAAGGUCUUCGGAUCGUAAAACUCUGUUAUUAGGGAAGAACAAAUGUGUAAGUAACUAUGCACGUCUUGACGGUACCUAAUCAGAAAGCCACGGCUAACUACGUG